UACGUAGGGUGCAAGCGUUGUCCGGAAUUAUUGGGCGUAAAGAGCUCGUAGGCGGUUUGUUGCGUCGGCUGUGAAAUCCCGCGGCUCAACUGCGGGUCUGCAGUCGAUACGGGCAGGCUAGAGUUCGGUAGGGGAGACUGGAAUUCCUGGUGUAGCGGUGAAAUGCGCAGAUAUCAGGAGGAACACCGAUGGCGAAGGCAGGUCUCUGGGCCGAUACUGACGCUGAGGAGCGAAAGCGUGGGGAGCGAACAGG
This 253-nucleotide ribosomal RNA is filed under the name uncultured bacterium. RNAcentral's name for it is "partial 16S ribosomal RNA". It matches the Rfam family "Bacterial small subunit ribosomal RNA", at positions 524 to 776 of the family's 1533-position model. The record is from RNAcentral.